AUCGCUUCUCAGCAUUUUUGCUAAAAUCAAAUGUAGUAUCUGUUCUUAUCAGUUUAAUAUUAAAUGGGGUUGAGUCUUUGAUUUGAGUGAGCAGAAAAUAAAGUGGCAACAUCAUGAUUCCAAAGUGGUUUAGGAAGUCCUUGAUCACGGUAGCAAUGAUUAAUAUCAUUUGUUAAGCACCUUUU
Small nuclear RNA from Peromyscus californicus insignis, 185 nucleotides. RefSeq annotates it as U2 spliceosomal RNA. The record is from RefSeq and is a predicted model, not a curated record. The transcript has a single exon. Lineage: Eukaryota; Metazoa; Chordata; Mammalia; Rodentia; Cricetidae.